GAUGAACGCUAGCGGCAGGCUUAACACAUGCAAGUCGAGGGGUAGAGGUUGCUUGCAACCUUGAGAACGGCGCACGGGUGCGUAACGCGUAUGCAACCUACCUUUUACAGAGGGAUAGCCCAGAGACAUUUGGAUUAAUACCUCAUAGUAUAUAACCUUCGCAUGUUGGUUAUAUUAAGGUUCCAACGGUAAAAGAAGGGCAUGCGUCCUAUUAGCUAGAUGGUGAGGUAACGGCUUACCAUGGCAACGAUAGGUAGGGGUCCUGAGAGGGAGAUCCCCCACACUGGUACUGAGACACGGACCAGACUCCUACGGGAGGCAGCAGUGAGGAAUAUUGGACAAUGGGCGCAAGCCUGAUCCAGCCAUGCCGCGUGCAAGAAGAAGCAUCUAUGGUGUGUAAACUGCUUUUGUACAGGAAGAAACACCCCGACGUGUCGGGGCUUGACGGUACUGUAAGAAUAAGGAUCGGCUAACUCCGUGCCAGCCGCCGCGGUAA
Molecule: ribosomal RNA, 496 nt
Filed under: uncultured bacterium
Lineage: Bacteria
Description: partial 16S ribosomal RNA
Rfam family: Bacterial small subunit ribosomal RNA
Source: RNAcentral